RNAcentral lists this ribosomal RNA (403 nucleotides) under uncultured bacterium. Its description in RNAcentral is "bacterial SSU rRNA". It matches the Rfam family "Bacterial small subunit ribosomal RNA", at positions 30 to 432 of the family's 1533-position model. The record is from RNAcentral.
AUUGAACGCUGGCGGCAUGCCUUACACAUGCAAGUCGAACGGCAGCACGGGAGCAAUCCUGGUGGCGAGUGGCGAACGGGUGAGUAAUAUAUCGGAACGUGCCCAGUCGUGGGGGAUAACGUAGCGAAAGCUACGCUAAUACCGCAUACGAUCUAUGGAUGAAAGCGGGGGAUCGCAAGACCUCGCGCGAUUGGAGCGGCCGAUAUCAGAUUAGGUAGUUGGUGAGGUAAAGGCUCACCAAGCCGACGAUCUGUAGCUGGUCUGAGAGGACGACCAGCCACACUGGGACUGAGACACGGCCCAGACUCCUACGGGAGGCAGCAGUGGGGGAAUUUUUGGACAAUGGGCGCAAGCCUGAUCCAGCAAUGCCGCGUGCAGGAAGAAGGCCUCGGUUGUAACGUAG